Molecule: ribosomal RNA, 1471 nt
Filed under: Salmonella enterica subsp. enterica serovar Typhi
Lineage: Bacteria; Pseudomonadati; Pseudomonadota; Gammaproteobacteria; Enterobacterales; Enterobacteriaceae
Description: bacterial SSU rRNA
Rfam family: Bacterial small subunit ribosomal RNA
Source: RNAcentral
CAGAUUGAACGCUGGCGGCAGGCCUAACACAUGCAAGUCGAACGGUAACAGGAAGCAGCUUGCUGCUUUGCUGACGAGUGGCGGACGGGUGAGUAAUGUCUGGGAAACUGCCUGAUGGAGGGGGAUAACUACUGGAAACGGUGGCUAAUACCGCAUAACGUCGCAAGACCAAAGAGGGGGACCUUCGGGCCUCUUGCCAUCAGAUGUGCCCAGAUGGGAUUAGCUUGUUGGUGAGGUAACGGCUCACCAAGGCGACGAUCCCUAGCUGGUCUGAGAGGAUGACCAGCCACACUGGAACUGAGACACGGUCCAGACUCCUACGGGAGGCAGCAGUGGGGAAUAUUGCACAAUGGGCGCAAGCCUGAUGCAGCCAUGCCGCGUGUAUGAAGAAGGCCUUCGGGUUGUAAAGUACUUUCAGCGGGGAGGAAGGUGUUGUGGUUAAUAACCGCAGCAAUUGACGUUACCCGCAGAAGAAGCACCGGCUAACUCCGUGCCAGCAGCCGCGGUAAUACGGAGGGUGCAAGCGUUAAUCGGAAUUACUGGGGCGUAAAGCGCACGCAGGCGGUCUGUCAAGUCGGAUGUGAAAUCCCCGGGCUCAACCUGGGAACUGCAUUCGAAACUGGCAGGCUUGAGUCUUGUAGAGGGGGGUAGAAUUCCAGGUGUAGCGGUGAAAUGCGUAGAGAUCUGGAGGAAUACCGGUGGCGAAGGCGGCCCCCUGGACAAAGACUGACGCUCAGGUGCGAAAGCGUGGGGAGCAAACAGGAUUAGAUACCCUGGUAGUCCACGCCGUAAACGAUGUCUACUUGGAGGUUGUGCCCUUGAGGCGUGGCUUCCGGAGCUAACGCGUUAAGUAGACCGCCUGGGGAGUACGGCCGCAAGGUUAAAACUCAAAUGAAUUGACGGGGGCCCGCACAAGCGGUGGAGCAUGUGGUUUAAUUCGAUGCAACGCGAAGAACCUUACCUGGUCUUGACAUCCACAGAACUUUCCAGAGAUGGAUUGGUGCCUUCGGGAACUGUGAGACAGGUGCUGCAUGGCUGUCGUCAGCUCGUGUUGUGAAAUGUUGGGUUAAGUCCCGCAACGAGCGCAACCCUUAUCCUUUGUUGCCAGCGGUCCGGCCGGGAACUCAAAGGAGACUGCCAGUGAUAAACUGGAGGAAGGUGGGGAUGACGUCAAGUCAUCAUGGCCCUUACGACCAGGGCUACACACGUGCUACAAUGGCGCAUACAAAGAGAAGCGACCUCGCGAGAGCAAGCGGACCUCAUAAAGUGCGUCGUAGUCCGGAUUGGAGUCUGCAACUCGACUCCAUGAAGUCGGAAUCGCUAGUAAUCGUGGAUCAGAAUGCCACGGUGAAUACGUUCCCGGGCCUUGUACACACCGCCCGUCACACCAUGGGGAGUGGGUUGCAAAAGAAGUAGGUAGCUUAACCUUCGGGAGGGCGCUUACCACUUUGUGAUUCAUGACUGGGGUGAA